Non-coding RNA from Neurospora crassa OR74A, 1298 nucleotides. Lineage: Eukaryota; Fungi; Ascomycota; Sordariomycetes; Sordariales; Sordariaceae. The record is from RefSeq and is a predicted model, not a curated record.
CAAGGAGUAAAAGUGACGAAAACGCCGGGGGAAGUAGUAUACACUAUUCAACACAGCCCUUUUUGCUGUCGAUCAUCGAUUCAAACGAGGAGUGAGCGGGCCCCGAAAGGUGCACUUGUUAGUGUAGUGUCGUGUAGUGUAUGUGCUUUUCUCAAACAAUUCCAGAAACCACUUCUUGCAAGCAGCAGCAGCAGCCCCGCCGUCUUUGUCUCUCGGUGAUAUCGGCGGACUGAGACCGGGAGGGGAUUUUGGAAUGUAUUUUGUUUGCCCAGUACCGGUCCGUACUCCCGAACACAAAACGCCACCGUCCUUGUUUCGCGACGGACAAGUUGGUGUCGUGUUGAAGGCGAAAUUGCCUCGCUGAAUCGCAAUGUUUUCUUUUCCAAAUAAGCAAAAAAAAAAGAAAGAGCCCUAAUGUGAGGCGAUGCCAACGGUUGCGGCGCGGCUUGUUUUCGUUGCUUUGCUUUCAGGGCGGCGGGCCUUGCACAACGCUUGUCUUGUCUUGUUCGUUUCUCGCUUGCUGAGGCCGGCGCCCCCUGUCCAGUGUCCGUAGUUCCCCCUCCACCCCCUGGCUCAGGGGUAAAACACACAGAGCACUGACGAGAUCUUUCACUCAAUUCACCCUGCCCAGGGAAAAUCACACACACACGGGCGGGACAGUGAAAAGCCAAGUUUGUAAUGACUUUUGUGUGUCCGUGCCUGCGCCUCGCUGCUUCUGGACCGGACUGGAUUGGAUUGUAGUCUGCCUUCUCGGUCCGUUACACCAUCUGGUAACGGUCUGGUCUUGUACUCGCUAGCGUUCUAGCGUAGUAAAAGGCAUUUCCGGAGUCUAUUGUAGUGUAGGUACGGUCUCGUGAAAUUUUGGGUCUGGGCGUUCGUUUCUGCUUGUGUAGUGUAAGGCCAGGGCCAGAUCCAGAGAGCAACGGGGCCACAGGGGGGAAGAUUGUAUGUCUCGGGACAAGAUUAGGUCUUGGUUGAGAGACAACCAGAUGCACACACCGUGUGUGAUGUGUUCGAGUCAGAAAAUGGCAGCGGUGCGGUCUUGUCCGGUAGACCUUUGUAGACUACAGCUCCGCUUCACCAAAGGAGGGGUCACGCGAGCAGCGCAAUCAGCAUGUGAGCGGGUUCUGGAGACUGCCUCGGUUGUUCCGAGUAUGACGACGGUGACGGAAUAAACGACUCGCUUAAACAAGUCUUUUUCAUCGCUCGAGUUGCUUACGAAUCGUGGAAUGGAACGUCGUUGAAGGUGGAAGAUCGGCCUCGUCCUUAGUUUUGGCUACCGCAGUGUCGAUUUGGCU